Molecule: ribosomal RNA, 462 nt
Filed under: uncultured bacterium
Lineage: Bacteria
Description: partial 16S ribosomal RNA
Rfam family: Bacterial small subunit ribosomal RNA
Source: RNAcentral
GAUGAACGCUGGCGGCGUGCUUAACACAUGCAAGUCGAACGAUGAUGCCCAGCUUGCUGGGUGGAUUAGUGGCGAACGGGUGAGUAACACGUGAGUAACCUGCCCUUGACUCUGGGAUAAGCCUGGGAAACUGGGUCUAAUACCGGAUACGACCAUCUGGCGCAUGUCAUGGUGGUGGAAAGCUUUUGUGGUUUUGGAUGGACUCGCGGCCUAUCAGCUUGUUGGUGGGGUAAUGGCCUACCAAGGCGACGACGAGUAGCCGGCCUGAGAGGGGGAGCAGCCAGAUUGGGACGGAGAGACGGCGCAAACUCGGACGGGAGGCAGGAGGGGGGAAUCUUGCGCAAGGGGCGAAAGCCUGACGCAGCCAUGCCGGGGGAAUGAUGAAGGGGUUAGGAGGGUAAAAUUCUUUAAAAGGGGACGAUAAUGACGGGACCAGGAGAAGAAGCGCCGGCUAACUUCGGG